CCCUUAGAUGUCCUGGGCCGCACGCGCGCUACACUGAUGCAUUCAACGAGUUUUACCUUGGCCGAGAGGCCUGGGCAAUCUUUUAAACCUGCAUCGUGAUAGGGAUAGAUUAUUGCAGUUAUUAAUCUUGAACGAGGAAUUCCUAGUAAACGCAAAUCAUCAAUUUGCAUUGAUUACGUCCCUGCCCUUUGUACACACCGCCCGUCGCACCUACCGAUUGAAUGGUCCGGUGAAGCCUCGGGAUUGUGGCCAGUUCACUUUAUUGGGAGUUGGCUGUGAGAACUUGUCUAAACCUUAUCAUUUAGAGGAAGGUGAAGUCGUAACA
Molecule: ribosomal RNA, 325 nt
Filed under: uncultured eukaryote
Lineage: Eukaryota
Description: partial 18S ribosomal RNA
Rfam family: Eukaryotic small subunit ribosomal RNA
Source: RNAcentral